UACGUAGGGUGCAAGCGUUAAUCGGAAUUACUGGGCGUAAAGCGUGCGCAGGCGGUUUUGUAAGUUUGUCGUGAAAGCCCCGGGCUCAACCUGGGAAUUGCGAUGAAGACUGCAAGGCUUGAAUCUGGCAGAGGGGGGUAGAAUUCCACGUGUAGCAGUGAAAUGCGUAGAGAUGUGGAGGAACACCGAUGGCGAAGGGCAGCCCCCUGGGUCAAGAUUGACGCUCGAUGCACGAAAGCGUGGGGAGCAAACAGG
Molecule: ribosomal RNA, 255 nt
Filed under: uncultured bacterium
Lineage: Bacteria
Description: partial 16S ribosomal RNA
Rfam family: Bacterial small subunit ribosomal RNA
Source: RNAcentral